CCCGCUGAACUUAAGCAUAUCAAUAAGCGGAGGAAAAGAAACCAACAGGGAUUGCCUUAGUAACGGCGAGUGAAGCGGCAAAAGCUCAAAUUUGAAAUCUGGCAGUAAUGUCCGAGUUGUAAUUUGAAGAAGGUAACUUUGGUGAUAGCUCUUGCAUAUGUUCCUUGGAACAGGACGUCAUAGAGGGUGAGAAUCCCGUAUAUGGUGAGAUGACAUAUUACUAUGUAAAGUGCCUUCGAAGAGUCGAGUUGUUUGGGAAUGCAGCUCUAAGUGGGUGGUAAAUUUCAUCUAAAGCUAAAUAUUGGCCAGAGACCGAUAGCGCACAAGUAGAGUGAUCGAAAGAUGAAAAGCACUUUGGAAAGAGAGUUAAACAGUACGUGAAAUUGUUGAAAGGGAAGCGCUUGCCACCAGACUUGCGCGCCGCUGAUCAUCCGGGGGUUUCCCCGGUGCACUUGGCGGCGCUCAGGCCAGCAUCGGUUUUGGUGGUUGGAUAAAGGCCUAGGGAAUGUAGCUCUCUGCGGGGAGUGUUAUAGCCCUAGGUGCAAUGCAGCCCACCGAGACCGAGGACCGCGCUCCGGCUAGGAUGCUGGCGUAAUGGUUGUAAGCGACCCGUCUUGAAACACGG
Molecule: ribosomal RNA, 625 nt
Filed under: uncultured fungus
Lineage: Eukaryota; Fungi
Description: eukaryotic LSU rRNA
Rfam family: Eukaryotic large subunit ribosomal RNA
Source: RNAcentral